This 279-nucleotide ribosomal RNA is filed under the name uncultured bacterium. RNAcentral's name for it is "partial 16S ribosomal RNA". It matches the Rfam family "Bacterial small subunit ribosomal RNA", at positions 506 to 784 of the family's 1533-position model. The record is from RNAcentral.
UGCCAGCCGCCGCGGUAAUACGGAGGGUGUAAACGUUGCUCGGAAUCAUUGGGCGUAAAGCGCGCGUAGGCGGUCCGUUAAGUUGGAUGUGAAAGCCCGGGGCUCAACCCCGGAAGUGCAUCCAAAACUGGCGGACUAGAAUCUCGGAGGGGGUCGGAGAAUUCCCGGUGUAGAGGUGAAAUUCGUAGAUAUCGGGAGGAAUACCAGUGGCGAAGGCGCCGACCUGGACGAUGAUUGACGCUGAGGUGCGAAAGCAUGGGGAGCGAACAGGAUUAGAUA